This 253-nucleotide ribosomal RNA is filed under the name uncultured bacterium. Its description in RNAcentral is "partial 16S ribosomal RNA". It matches the Rfam family "Bacterial small subunit ribosomal RNA", at positions 524 to 776 of the family's 1533-position model. The record is from RNAcentral.
UACGAAGGGGGCUAGCGUUUCUCGGAAUCACUGGGCGUAAAGCGCACGUAGGCGGAUUGCUAAGUCAGGGGUGAAAUCCUGGAGCUCAACUCCAGAACUGCCUUUGAUACUGGCGAUCUCGAGUCCGGGAGAGGUGAGUGGAACUGCGAGUGUAGAGGUGAAAUUCGUAGAUAUUCGCAAGAACACCAGUGGCGAAGGCGGCUCACUGGCCCGGUACUGACGCUGAGGUGCGAAAGCGUGGGGAGCGAACAGG